ACCGGCAGCUCAAGUGGUGGCCAUUAUUAUUGGGCCUAAAGCGUUCGUAGCCGGUUUGAUAAGUCUCUGGUGAAAUCCCGCAGCUUAACUGUGGGACUUGCUGGAGAUACUAUCAGACUUGAGGUCGGGAGAGGUUAGGGGUACUCCCAGGGUUGGAGUGAAAUGCGAAAAUCCUGGGAGGAGCAACUGUGGCGAAGGCGACUAACUGGAUCGAUCCUGACGGUGAUUAACGAAAGCGAGGGGCGAGAAACG
Molecule: ribosomal RNA, 252 nt
Filed under: uncultured prokaryote
Description: partial 16S rRNA
Rfam family: Archaeal small subunit ribosomal RNA
Source: RNAcentral